AUUGAACGCUGGCGGCAUGCCUAACACAUGCAAGUCGAACGGGGGCAGCAAUGCCCUAGUGGCGGACGGGUGAGGAAUACGUAGGAACCGGCCCACGAGUGGGGGACAACCUGGGGAAACCCAGGCUAAUACCGCAUACGCUCGCGAGAGGAAAGCGGGGGACCUUCGGGCCUCGCGCUGGUGGACGGGCCUACGUCCGAUUAGCUUGUUGGUGGGGUAAAAGCCUACCAAGGCGACGAUCGGUAGCUGGUCUGAGAGGAUGAUCAGCCACACUGGGACUGAGACACGGCCCAGACUCCUACGGGAGGCAGCAGUGGGGAAUAUUGGACAAUGGGCGCAAGCCUGAUCCAGCAAUGCCGCGUGGGUGAAGAAGGCCUGCGGGUUGUAAAGCCCUUUAAGCGGGAGGAAAGCCGGGGGGUGAAUAAGCGCCUCGGGGUGACGUUACCCGCAGAAUAAGCACCGGCUAACUCCGUGCCAGCAGCCGCGGU
Molecule: ribosomal RNA, 488 nt
Filed under: uncultured bacterium
Lineage: Bacteria
Description: bacterial SSU rRNA
Rfam family: Bacterial small subunit ribosomal RNA
Source: RNAcentral